This 253-nucleotide ribosomal RNA is filed under the name uncultured bacterium. RNAcentral describes it as "partial 16S ribosomal RNA". It matches the Rfam family "Bacterial small subunit ribosomal RNA", at positions 524 to 776 of the family's 1533-position model. The record is from RNAcentral.
UACGUAGGGACCAAGCGUUGUUCGGAUUUACUGGGCGUAAAGGGCGCGUAGGCGGCGUGUUAAGUCACUUGUGAAAUCUCUGAGCUUAACUCAGAACGGCCAAGUGAUACUGCAGUGCUAGAGUGUGGAAGGGGCAAUCGGAAUUCUUGGUGUAGCGGUGAAAUGCGUAGAUAUCAAGAGGAACACCUGAGGUGAAGACGGGUUGCUGGGCCAACACUGACGCUGAGGCGCGAAAGCCAGGGGAGCAAACGGG